Long non-coding RNA from Cervus elaphus (red deer), 997 nucleotides. RefSeq lists it as uncharacterized. The record is from RefSeq and is a predicted model, not a curated record. NCBI's taxonomy places the organism in Eukaryota, Metazoa, Chordata, Mammalia, Artiodactyla, Cervidae. The transcript is spliced from 3 exons.
UUGAGGGUUCCCGGCGCCUACAGCAGCUAGGGCCAGAGCCGCCGGGGCUAGGAGCACUCAGCGGGGAUCCGGCGUGACCUUCGGAGAACCAGCCGGACCCGCCCAUUUCGGCUGCCCGUGUCGAUUCGGGGUCAGGGGAAGCCACUGGCCGGCGGCGUGAACCCGAGGGACGCAGGAUGCGCUCCAAACACAGGGCCCCUGCAGGACGAAGCUGUUGAAGACUGUGGAGGUCGCUGACACCUUACAAAGGUUGUUCUCACCAUGAAUUCUCUUCCUGUGAUGUGUCCCAUCCUCAGAGCAGAGAUUGCCUUCCUGGAAGAAGCCACAGUGUUGUCUGAGGAGCUCAAGUUCACAAUCCAGAGAGUUAUAGAAUGAGAUGAAGCAGUACUAAUGAGCUUCCAUAGAAGGCAUCAGAAUUUUCUUACUGAACCAAAGAAGACUUGUCUGUCAGCAUAAGUCAGCAAAGGACCUCCAUGGCAGCUGCAAGCAAGAUGGAAACUCUGAACUGGGAGCUCUCUGGCCCCCCAAGCUACUGUCCAAGCCCCUGAGGAAGUGAUGUGGACAGCAAGUGACCUGAGAAAGAGAAGACGAGGACAGUGCAGACCACGUGGAAAACCAGAGGAGCCUUUCUGGAGGAGGAGGCUUGGGGUGAUAAGCGAGGCUUGGCUUGAUGAAUAUAAGCUGGUGAAGGUCCACUUCUCUUCAUGAGGCAUUCGUAAGAUGGGAUCGGAAGUUCCACUUCCUGGAAUUUCAACUCUGCCUAUUUCAGCAUCUCGAAAAUUCCUAAAAACUUUUCAUCCUUGUGGGGUUCUGGGCUGGAUGGUUUCUGGGAACAGGACACCAGGAGACUGGGCUCACAGGAGACAUAUUGGGCUCCCUCCUCUGGGGUGCUUUCUUUUGAUGUUAUGGUUAAUUAUACACAGGCCUGGGCUUCCUUGGUGGCUCAACCAGUAAAGAAUCUGCCUGCAGUGCAGGAGACCUGGCUUCAAUCCCUGGG